RNAcentral lists this small nuclear RNA (132 nucleotides) under Zalophus californianus (California sea lion). Its description in RNAcentral is "U4 spliceosomal RNA (ENSZCAG00015014705.1)". It matches the Rfam family "U4 spliceosomal RNA". From Rfam's summary of the family: U4 small nuclear RNA (U4 snRNA) is a component of the major U2-dependent spliceosome. The structure of U4 snRNA from yeast and human has been reported. The record is from RNAcentral. Lineage: Eukaryota; Metazoa; Chordata; Mammalia; Carnivora; Otariidae.
AGCUCUGCACAGUGGCAGUAUUGUGGCCAAUGAGGUUUAUCUGAGGCACAAUUAUUGCUCAUUGAAAAUAGUGAUAAUUUUUUCUUCUAUUUUGCAAAAUUAUACCUCAUUUUUUGUUCUUACUGCAAGCUU